UACGUAGGGUGCGAGCGUUGUCCGGAAUUAUUGGGCGUAAAGGGCUCGUAGGCGGAUUGUCGCGUCGGGAGUGAAAACACACAGCUUAACUGUGUGCUUGCUUCCGAUACGGGCAGACUAGAGGUAUGCAGGGGAGAACGGAAUUCCUGGUGUAGCGGUGAAAUGCGCAGAUAUCAGGAGGAACACCGGUGGCGAAGGCGGUUCUCUGGGCAUUACCUGACGCUGAGGAGCGAAAGCGUGGGGAGCGAACAGG
RNAcentral lists this ribosomal RNA (253 nucleotides) under uncultured bacterium. Its description in RNAcentral is "partial 16S ribosomal RNA". It matches the Rfam family "Bacterial small subunit ribosomal RNA", at positions 524 to 776 of the family's 1533-position model. The record is from RNAcentral.